GUGUAACAACUCACCUGCCGAAUCAAUUAGCCCCGAAAAUGGAUGGCGCUGAAGUGUGCGACCUAUACCCGGCCAUCGGGGCGAGUGCGAUGCCCCGAUGAGUAGGAGGGCGUGGGGGUUGUGGCGCAGCCUUGGGUGUAAACCUGGGUGAAACGACCUCUAGUGCAGAUCUUGGUGGUAGUAGC
RNAcentral lists this ribosomal RNA (185 nucleotides) under uncultured eukaryote. Its description in RNAcentral is "partial 28S ribosomal RNA". It matches the Rfam family "Eukaryotic large subunit ribosomal RNA", at positions 1280 to 1464 of the family's 3401-position model. The record is from RNAcentral.